Molecule: long non-coding RNA, 236 nt
Organism: Trichomycterus rosablanca
Lineage: Eukaryota; Metazoa; Chordata; Actinopteri; Siluriformes; Trichomycteridae
Exons: 3
Source: RefSeq, a predicted model, not a curated record
AUCGAUACUAUCGAUAUUUGGAUCGAUCCGCGCAUCCCUUCUAAUAAGCGUCAAUUACAUGCAAAUGGACCUUAUGCAAAUUAGGCGAUGACGUCAUUUAGCGACUUCUAGCGACUUUUAGGACAGCCAAUAGCUACUUUCCUUACUGAGGAGUUGGCAACACUGAGUGAAGAAGCAGUAGAGAGUGCAGUGCUAUAAUACUGGUACAUGAGUGAUAAACAUGUGCAUAUCGACCG